RNAcentral lists this long non-coding RNA (620 nucleotides) under Olea europaea subsp. europaea. Lineage: Eukaryota; Viridiplantae; Streptophyta; Magnoliopsida; Lamiales; Oleaceae. The record is from RNAcentral.
UAAAUAAAUAAAAUAGGAACACUGCAAAAUUGUGUUAUGGAGAGUGUAAAUGAUCACAAAAAAGGACAUUCGUAUAUAAAUUAAACAUUCCAAGGACCUUGCUGUAGUACAAAAUCAUAAUCUAAAGGAGAAAGCACAAGAUUAAAACUCGACAAUUCAUCUAGAAUUGAUGUGGGAUUUAUCUCUUAACGAGACGCUCUUAGACAGCCAUAUCUUUAAUGUUAGCUGUUUUCCGAGCAGCUGCCAAGGAAAUUGCACCCAAACAUGCAUGAUAAAAUGCCAAAAUAAGAGGAAACGAUAAGCUGAGCAAUAGAUUUAGUUAUAAGCGCGAAAGCUGUGAGUUUAUUGGAAAGUAAGAAACUGGAAUCGGAGCGCCUUUUGACUUUACUUUGCUCUUCUGUUUCUCUGCAGAAGGAACUUUCUGAGGUCGGACGAUAGCAUCAGAUAUUUGUGAAGAAGAUGAACUACUGAAGCAGCUUAAAAACCCUAAAAACGAACCCAUUUUUUAUCUGUUCUUGGCUAUAUGUAUAAGAAGUUGUGAAUGGCCACUUAUAUAUGGUUGAAGAUAUCUAAGAGAGGCGGUGUGGAAUUUUCUUUUUUUAUUUGAUGAUGAAACAGUG